RNAcentral lists this ribosomal RNA (393 nucleotides) under uncultured bacterium. RNAcentral describes it as "partial 16S ribosomal RNA". It matches the Rfam family "Bacterial small subunit ribosomal RNA", at positions 523 to 918 of the family's 1533-position model. The record is from RNAcentral.
AUACGGAGGAUGCAAGCGUUAUCCGGGUUUAUUGGGUUUAAAGGGUGCGUAGGCGGUUUGCUAAGCGGGAGGUGAAAUGCCGGCGCUCAACGUCGGAAGUGCCUCCCGAACUGGUGGACUUGAAUGACUCUGCCGUGGGAGGAAUGUGUAGUGUAGCGGUGAAAUGCUUAGAGAUUACACAGAACACCGAUUGCGAAGGCAUCUCACGAAGGGUUGAUUGACGCUGAGGCACGAAAGCGUGGGGAUCAAACGGGAUUAGAUACCCUGGUAGUCCACGCAGUAAACGAUGAUGGCUAACCGCUGGGCUUAUCAGUUCAGUGGCCAAGCGAAAGCGAUAAGCCAUCCACCUGGGGAGUACGACCGCAAGGUUGAAACUCAAAUGAAUUGACGGGG